Molecule: ribosomal RNA, 459 nt
Filed under: uncultured bacterium
Lineage: Bacteria
Description: partial 16S ribosomal RNA
Rfam family: Bacterial small subunit ribosomal RNA
Source: RNAcentral
CCUACGUGUGGCAGCAGUGAGGAAUAUUGGUCAAUGGGCGAGAGCCUGAACCAGCCAAGUCGCGUGAGGGAAGACGGUCCUAUGGAUUGUAAACCUCUUUUGCCGGGGAGCAAAAAGCGGUACGUGUACCGCAUCGUGAGUACCCCGUGAAAAAAGAUCGGCUAAGUCGGUCCCAUCAGCCGGGGUAAUACGGAGGAUGCGAGGGUUAUCCGGAUUUAUUGGGUUUAAAGGGUGCGCAGGCGGCGAGUUAAGUCAGCGGGAAAAUUUCGGGGCUCAACCCCGACGGGCCGUUGAAACUGGCUGGCUAGAGUGGGCGAGAGGUAUGCGGAAUGCGUGGUGUAGCGGUGAAAUGCAUAGAUAUCACGAAGAACUCCGAUUGCGAAGGCAGCGUGCCGUGCCGCCACUGACGCUGAGGCACGAAAGCGCGGGGAUCGAACAGGAUUAGAUACCCCUGUAGUC